Molecule: long non-coding RNA, 594 nt
Organism: Bos indicus x Bos taurus (hybrid cattle)
Lineage: Eukaryota; Metazoa; Chordata; Mammalia; Artiodactyla; Bovidae
Source: Ensembl
GAACACCACACUGAGCAUGCUUCUCCCCUCUGAGCAUCUCCCUGCAGGACCUGUGGAGCCCAGCCAGGCACCCCUGCCAGCAUCACAGGGGACCCUGCCUACCAUCAUGGCCAUCAUCAUCCUGGGGUCACUGCAUGGCCUUGUCUUCAGUGGGCUGGUGGCUAGGAUUCUACUUGGGAAGCUGCGGGGCAGGGAAUCCCAAGGGCAUGAGGAAGUCUCUGAGGUCAUCUAUGAGCAGAUCCUUGAGGAAUGGGUGGAUUCAUGUGGUGCACACCUGAGGCCUGGGACCUGCCUGACUGGUGACCCACCCACAGAGGACACGCCUGUCAUGCUGCAGGGAGGUGGCCCCCCGCAGGUGGGACAGGAACCCCCCUUGCAGGCAUCCUCGGGGUCCAGCUACGACGAUGUGGGCGUGGCGUGCACGGAGCUGUGAGCCCACCGCUCCUUCUCCACCGGCUUUUCUGCCCUGGGGCGCUUCCAGGGUGAGCCUCGGUUUUCCUAGUUUUGACAGAUUUGUCUUUGGACGCUUCCUUAACAAUCCCCUCCUCUCCUGACGUUAAUAAAACUCCCUUGAUUUAAUAAGAGUCCCGCCUU